This 253-nucleotide ribosomal RNA is filed under the name uncultured bacterium. RNAcentral describes it as "partial 16S ribosomal RNA". It matches the Rfam family "Bacterial small subunit ribosomal RNA", at positions 524 to 776 of the family's 1533-position model. The record is from RNAcentral.
UACGAAGGGGGCUAGCGUUGUUCGGAAUUACUGGGCGUAAAGCGCACGUAGGCGGACAUUUAAGUCAGGGGUGAAAUCCCGGGGCUCAACCCCGGAACUGCCUUUGAUACUGGGUGUCUCGAGUCCGGAAGAGGUGAGUGGAAUUCCGAGUGUAGAGGUGAAAUUCGUAGAUAUUCGGAGGAACACCAGUGGCGAAGGCGGCUCACUGGUCCGGUACUGACGCUGAGGCGCGAAAGCGUGGGGAGCGAACCGG